Molecule: long non-coding RNA, 826 nt
Organism: Salvia splendens (bonfire salvia)
Lineage: Eukaryota; Viridiplantae; Streptophyta; Magnoliopsida; Lamiales; Lamiaceae
Exons: 2
Source: RefSeq, a predicted model, not a curated record
AGAUCCAACGAUUAAUUAAUUCCGUCCAACACUUUAAUUAGUCCAACAAUUUCCUCCUUCAAAACAAACAAAGGAAUUAAUCCAAUUCCUUGUGCCAACUGAUGACCCCCAACUUUAUACCAUCAAUCCAUCUAUCCAUUUUAGUAUUUUAUUUGGCUCAAGAUUUUAAUUCAUGUAAAAGGGCUACGUCUAAUCCAGCAACAAAAUUGAGUCCAACAAUAAAGCAUCACCACCCACUUAUCUCUGUCCUCGUCUUACACUUCCUUCUCCACAUCUUCUCCUCCUACUCUAACUCUCUCUUUCCUUCUUCACCUAAAACAGAAAACUUACAAUCCCUUAUCACCAUCACCUCGGCUGCUCUCUCUCUCUCUCUCUCCUCGCGUCGCUGUCAUAGUUCCGUCGCCCAACUCCACCGCGAUGUCACCGCUGUUGCCGUUGAGAAGAAGCAGAGUCACCACUCUCGUUUCUGCCGCGAGAGUCGCCGUCUUUCAGUGACACCGGUUCAUCGUUUCUCCAGGCCGGUCGUCGCUGUUUCGCAAAUCCGUGCAACGACACUGCCCCUCGACGUCUCCGCCACUGUUAAGUUUCCACAAUUUUAAUUAUUUUAGUUAUAGCCUAAGGCUGGUUAAAGAUUCAAGAUUCAGGCUUUGAACACAGAAUUCAUCGAUGAAAAACUCAAGCUUCCACAGAUUUUCGAUUGGAUUUUUCAUGAUAUGGAUGAUGCCGUUUAGGAUUGGGAGUGGAAGAAGAUUUGAAAAGAAAUUUGGGCUUCUUCAAGUGUAUACUCAAAAUAACUGGACUCGGAUGUAUUUAUAAAAUAAUUAAA